CAAGUCGAACGGCAGCACGGAGAGCUUGCUCUCUGGUGGCGAGUGGCGAACGGGUGAGUAAUAUAUCGGAACGUAUCCAAUAAUGGGGGAUAACGAGUCGAAAGAUUCGCUAAUACCGCAUACGCCCUACGGGGGAAAGCAGGGGAUCGUAAGACCUUGCGUUAAUGGAGCGGCCGAUAUCUGAUUAGCUUGUUGGUGAGGUAAAGGCUCACCAAGGCGACGAUCAGUAGCUGGUUUGAGAGAACGACCAGCCACACUGGAACUGAGACACGGUCCAGACUCCUACGGGAGGCAGCAGUGGGGAAUUUUGGACAAUGGGGGCAACCCUGAUCCAGCCAUUCCGCGUGAGUGAAGAAGGCCUUCGGGUUGUAAAGCUCUUUCGCAAGGGAAGAAAACUUAUGAUCGAAUAAAUCAUGAGGUUGACGGUACCUUGAUAAGAAGCACCGGCUAACUACGUGCCAGCAGCCGCGGUAAUACGUAGGGUGCGAGCGUUAAUCGGAAUUACUGGGCGUAAAGCGUGCGCAGGCGGUUUUGUAAGUCGGAUGUGAAAUCCCCGGGCUCAACCUGGGAACUGCGUUCGAAACUGCAAGGCUAGAGUGUGUCAGAGGGGGGUAGAAUUCCACGUGUAGCAGUGAAAUGCGUAGAGAUGUGGAGGAAUACCAAUGGCGAAGGCAGCCCCCUGGGAUAACACUGACGCUCAUGCACGAAAGCGUGGGGAGCAAACAGGAUUAGAUACCCUGGUAGUCCACGCCCUAAACGAUGUCAACUAGUUGUUGGUAGAGUAAAAUCUAUGAGUAACGUAGCUAACGCGUGAAGUUGACCGCCUGGGGAGUACGGUCGCAGAUUAAAACUCAAAGGAAUUGACGGG
This 868-nucleotide ribosomal RNA is filed under the name uncultured bacterium. Its description in RNAcentral is "bacterial SSU rRNA". It matches the Rfam family "Bacterial small subunit ribosomal RNA", at positions 58 to 917 of the family's 1533-position model. The record is from RNAcentral.